Long non-coding RNA from Ostrea edulis (European flat oyster), 2079 nucleotides. RefSeq lists it as uncharacterized. The record is from RefSeq and is a predicted model, not a curated record. The transcript has 3 exons. NCBI's taxonomy places the organism in Eukaryota, Metazoa, Mollusca, Bivalvia, Ostreida, Ostreidae.
UGUUCAUUAUCUUCACCUUUAUAGGAGUUAUGAGAUUGAUCACUGUUCGUUAUCUUCACCUUUAUAGGAGUUAUGAGAUUGAUCACUGUUCGUUAUCUUCACCUUUAUAGGAGUUAUGAGAUUGAUCACUGAUUGUUAUCUUCACCUUUAUAGGAGUUAUAAGAUUGAUCACUGUUCAUUAUCUUCACCUUUAUAGGAGUUAUGAGAUUGAUCACUGAUUGUUAUCUUCACCUUUACAGGAGUUAUGAGAUUGAUCACUGAUUGUUAUCUUCAUCUUUAUAGGAGUUAUAAGAUUGAUCACUGUUCAUUAUCUUCACCUUUACAGGAGUUAUGAGAUUGAUCACUGUUUGUUAUCUUCACCUUUACAGGAGUUAUGAGAUUGAUCACUGUUCGUUACCCUCACCUUUUCAUUAGAUGAUGUAAGGAAUGUUGCAGUUAAAUAGACAUCUUUCUCCUGUACAUUCAAUGCAACCAAAGUGAGGAUUUCAGUUUAAAGGGAGAGUUCAGAGAGAGAAAGGAACCAUCACCAGCACACAGCCUCCAGGCAGCAGCCAUUCACAAAACCAUCACACAAUAGCAAGUAUAAGGAAGAACUCUCUUCAGAGGGGUUUACCACAUUGUUUUGAAUGAACACAUAAACUGACCAGUUACCACCGGUGUAUCCCUCAACCAUCUUGGUGUAACGCCCACUUUAUCCGUGCACGCAAUGUGCAACAGAUAAGCAUGAAGCAGUGAUGUCAACAUACAUAAAGUUAUACAACAACAAAAAUCUUAUUUAUACCCCACGAAAAGGAAUGGGUACAACUCUGUCAUCUUCAAGUAUUGCUGAUAAAUGAACAUUUAAAGAUUAGAAAUGUACCAAUACUUAAAGGAAUUCACAGAAUCAAAAGAAGAAAAAAAGAUCUAGAAGCUUGAUACCAACCAUGGAGCAUGCUUUCAUACAGCAGUGAGGAGGGUGUGAUUGGUGUAGAUGCCCUGGAGCGCCUAUCAAAAUUCAGACAGAAAAUGAUUCAUGCUUCAAUUUUCAUAAUGUGAAAGUCUUCAAAGGCAAAAUUGUUAAAAGUUAAAGUUAAUACUUGUCAAAAUUCUAAAAACAAGCAUUCAAUAUGUACUGAAAUUUUCCUGUGUCAUAACAAUACUUAAGAAAAACAAGCAUUCAAUAUGUACUGAAAUUUUCCUGUGUCAUAAUACUUAAGACCAAGAAUGUGAAACACUGAUGCCCCCAUCUGGUACCAAAUGAAACGUCUUGUCCAAAGGAAUACACAAAGAGAACAAAUCCUAUCAAUAACCAUUCAAAAGUUACGGCCAAUUUUAAAGCUUUUCAAAAGUGGGUCACACUCCAAGGUGAAGGUUAUGAGGGUGAACAUUUUGGUACCAAAAGAAAUGUCUUGACACAAGAAAUGCACAAGUGAAAUAUGAAAACCUCAGCACUCACUGUUCAAAAGUUAUGGCCAAAGUUAAAGUUUUUACAGACAGACAGAUGGCCAAAAACUAUAUGCCCUUGAAUCUCCAAUUACAGGGGCAUAAAAAGCAAAUACAAGUAAAAUAAUGAUGUUACUAAAAUGUUGAUGGAGAACUACAACAUAUCUAUUGCUGUAGGUGGCGUUCAUCUUCAUUACCUCAGAGUUCUGUUAGCAACAGCUGAUCGUGGUCGCUUCAUGCUUUCAGGGAGCCCAUCUUUCCAGCCAGGUACAUGUCCUGAUCUUGGUCUCUUUUGAAUAUUUUCAAAGAAAAGGUCACGACCUCCAGCCAGCCAAUCAGAUCCCACCUUGACAUGAAGUGCACUAGAAGGUCUUGAAGUAGGGCUUUCUUGAUUGGAAGACUGGAUUCUAAUAAUAGCAGCAGGCGAGGAGGGCCUCUGAGGUGGUGGUGAUUUUCUCCUUCCUUUUGAAAAUGAAAAUGAUCGGUCUUAUGAUUUAUUGAAAAUGGAAUAUUCAAACACCAGAGGUGAAUGGUUCAUCAUAAUUAAUGUAUUUACAGCAAGUUCAUUUUGAGAGAAAACAGCAGUUUCAUUGAUUUAUUCCCCAAACAGGUAUAACACUUAUGCUGAAGACAAAAUAAAAAUGUUGCAAAAGAAAA